This is an RNA transcript of Ricinus communis (castor bean), 2422 nucleotides long. It is a transcript of the gene named factor of DNA methylation 1, with no coding region annotated. The transcript has 9 exons. The record is from RefSeq and is a predicted model, not a curated record. Lineage: Eukaryota; Viridiplantae; Streptophyta; Magnoliopsida; Malpighiales; Euphorbiaceae.
AUAAUAGGUUCAAAAGCAGGUGAUUCUCUCGUUCCAGAGCAUCGCAAAAUUACAGCAGUGGGGUCGUCUGGCGCUGAGCUGCUGAGCCUUGACCAUUCUUCUGUUGUUCUCCAACCGAAGCGGGAACAAACAAUCAAGCAAACCACUGAAGCAGAGGCGGUAACAUCCUCUCAAAUUCAAGGAAAGAUGGAAUAUAGUUCUGAUGAAGAAUCUGAUAUUAGUGAAUCAGAGAUCAAUGACUACAAGGAGAAGCCAUACGGAGAAUUGAAAUCUGGAAAAUACAAAGUAAAAGUAAAUGGAACCCUAAGAUGUCCAUUUUGUGCUGGGAAAAAGAAGCAGGAUUACAAGUACAAGGACUUGCUCCAACAUGCAACAGGGGUGGGUAAAGGCUCUGCCAAUAGGAGCGCGAAACAAAAGGCAAACCAUGUUGCCUUGGCAAUCUAUUUGGAGAAUGACCUAGCUGAUGAAUCAGAUCAAAGCCAUCGUCCAGCUUUGCCAAAACCUGUCAAUCCAACUCCACAGCAAGUCGAUCUCUUUGUAAAGCCGUGGAUGGGAAUAGUAGUUAACAUAGUGACUGAAGGAAAGGAUAGCAAUGCCUUGCAUGACAAUGCGUAUUGGUUGAAAAAGUUUGCUCAGUAUAAACCUUCGGAAGUUAGUACAUUUUGGAGUGAGCAUGAGCAAACUGGACAGGCUGUGUUGAAAUUUAACGAUGAUUGGAAUGGUUUUAUGAAUGCCACUGAAUUCGAAAAAUCAUUCGAAACCUUGCACCAUAGCAAAAAAGAUUGGAAAGAACGAAAGACAAAUCCUGGCUCAAGUAUGUAUGGGUGGUGUGCUCGAGCUGAUGAUCAUGAUUCAGAGGGUCCAAUAGGAGAUUUUCUUCGCAAGAAAGGAAAGCUGAGAACAAUUUCUGGCAUUGUUGAAGAAGCUACUGAAAGCAGAAACAGUGUUGUGGCACAUUUGUCCAACAAAAUUGAUCAGACAAAUAAAAAUUUGGAUGACCUCCAGUACAAAUACAAUGAGAAGACAAUGUCAUUGAGUCGGAUGCUUGAAGAGAAAGACAAACUGCACUAUGCUUUCAUUGAAGAAACAAGGAAGAUGCAACGGCAUGCACGUGAUAAUGUUCGCAGAAUCUUGGAAGAGCAGGAAAAUCUGAAUGAUGAAUUGGAGUCUAAGAAGAGGAAACUUGAUAGCUGGAGCAAAGAAUUGAACAAACGUGAAGCAUUAACUGAACGCGAGAGACAAAAACUUGAUGAAGAGAAGAAAAAGAAUGAUGAUCAAAACAAUUCACUUCAGUUGGCAUCUAUGGAGCAGAAAAAGGCUGAUGAGAAUGUCUUAAGGCUAGUUGAAGAGCAGAAGAGGGAAAAGGAAGAAGCAUUAAAUAAGAUACUUCAGUUGGAAAAACAGUUGGAUGCCAAACAGAAGUUAGAAAUGGAAAUUGAAGAGUUGAAAGGGAAACUACAAGUGAUUAAGCAUCUUGGUGAUCAAGAUGAUGCAGCUGUCCAAAGGAAGAUGAAAGAGAUGGCUGACGAGCUAGAACAGAAAGAAGAGGAUUUCGGUGAUAUGGAAAAUUUGCAUCAUACUCUUGUUGUGAAAGAACGCCAGAGUAAUGAUGAGUUACAAGAUGCACGUAAAGAAUUAAUUGCGGGUUUGGGAGAUAUGUUGUCCUCGGUUGUUCGGACCAAUAUUGGAAUAAAGAGAAUGGGGGAGAUUGAUCAAAAGCCAUUCCUUAACACAUGUAAGCAAAAAUUUCCACUGGAGGAAGCUCAGGUCCAGGCCACCACUCUGUGCUCCUUGUGGCAAGAGAAUUUGAAGGACUCAUCCUGGCAACCAUUUAAAAUCGUUCCAGAUGCUGAAGUUGAAGGGAAAGUAAAUGAAAUAGUAGAUGAAGAAGAUGAGAAGCUGCAAAAUCUCAAACUGGAGUGGGGGGAUGAGAUAUACAAUGCUGUUGUUACAGCUCUGAAGGAGAUAAAUGAGUAUAAUGCAAGUGGGAGAUAUAUAACUCCGGAGCUCUGGAACUUCAAAGAAGGAAGGAAAGCCACUUUGAAAGAGGUCAUUGGUUAUAUUGUGAAAAAUAUAAAAACACUUAAGCGCAAGAGAUGAUAUCAAAAUCAGAUGACUACUUAGCUCAGCUAAUCGAAGAACCACUUGCUGCCUUUCCCAAAUCUUAAUUUAUGUGGCAUCAUAUGCUGUGGAAUCUAUUGCAUUUGCUCUACUGCAGUUGGUCCCCGAUAUUUCCACCAAUGAAACCAGAAGCUGUGACCAUCCACAAAUCUUCAGAGCUUGUAUUUUCUCUCUCUGCUCCAGCUGGAUGCAAUAUUUCUUAAAGUUGUUAUAUCGGGAGUUGUGUUCUCUGAUGAAUUGUGAACUGAAUGUUUAGCAUCAAAAUCUAUUGAAAGGCUCUCUGGACAUCUUUAAAAUUUGA